RNAcentral lists this ribosomal RNA (651 nucleotides) under Promicromonospora sp. RNAcentral's name for it is "bacterial SSU rRNA". It matches the Rfam family "Bacterial small subunit ribosomal RNA", at positions 85 to 751 of the family's 1533-position model. The record is from RNAcentral. Lineage: Bacteria; Bacillati; Actinomycetota; Actinomycetes; Micrococcales; Promicromonosporaceae.
GGGUGGAUCAGUGGCGAACGGGUGAGUAACACGUGAGCAACCUGCCCUCCACUUCGGGAUAAGCCUUGGAAACGAGGUCUAAUACCGGAUACGAGCACUUACCGCAUGGUGGGUGUUGGAAAGUUUUUCGGUGGGGGAUGGGCUCGCGGCCUAUCAGCUUGUUGGUGGGGUAAUGGCCUACCAAGGCGUCGACGGGUAGCCGGCCUGAGAGGGCGACCGGCCACACUGGGACUGAGACACGGCCCAGACUCCUACGGGAGGCAGCAGUGGGGAAUAUUGCACAAUGGGCGAAAGCCUGAUGCAGCGACGCCACGUGAGGGAUGACGGCCUUCGGGUUGUAAACCUCUUUCAGCAGGGAAGAAGCGCAAGUGACGGUACCUGCAGAAGAAGCGCCGGCUAACUACGUGCCAGCAGCCGCGGUAAUACGUAGGGCGCAAGCGUUGUCCGGAAUUAUUGGGCGUAAAGAGCUCGUAGGCGGUCUGUCGCGUCUGGUGUGAAAUCCCAUGGCUCAACCAUGGGCUUGCAUCGGGUACGGGCAGACUAGAGUGCUGUAGGGGAGACUGGAAUUCCUGGUGUAGCGGUGGAAUGCGCAGAUAUCAGGAGGAACACCGAUGGCGAAGGCAGGUCUCUGGGCAGUUACUGACGCUGAGG